This 406-nucleotide ribosomal RNA is filed under the name uncultured bacterium. RNAcentral describes it as "partial 16S ribosomal RNA". It matches the Rfam family "Bacterial small subunit ribosomal RNA", at positions 29 to 526 of the family's 1533-position model. The record is from RNAcentral.
AUUGAACGCUGGCGGCAGGCCUAACACAUGCAAGUCGAACGAGUGGCGGACGGGUGAGUAAUGUCUGGGAAACUGCCUGAUGGAGGGGGAUAACUACUGGAAACGGUAGCUAAUACCGCAUACCAUCGGAUGUGCCCAGAUGGGAUUAGCUAGUAGGUGGGGUAAAGGCUCACCUAGGCGACGAUCCCUAGCUGGUCUGAGAGGAUGACCAGCAAGACGGGAACUGAGACACGGUCCAGACUGCGACGGGAGGCAGCAGUGGGGAAGAUGGGACAAUGGGCGCAAGGAUGAGGCAGACAUGCCGCGUGUAUGAAGAAGGCCGUCGGGUUGUAAAGUACGUUCAGCGGGGAGGCGGUACCCGCAGAAGAAGCACCGGCUAACUCCGUGCCAGCAGCCGCGGUAAUAC